GACGAACGCUGGCGGCGUGCCUAACACAUGCAAGUCGAACGGAGUUCUUAAGGAAUGCGACUUCGGUCAAAUGACUUUUGAACUUAGUGGCGGACUGGUGAGUAACGCGUGAGGAACCUGCCUUUCAGAGGGGGACAACAGUUGGAAACGACUGCUAAUACCGCAUGACACAUCGAUGGGGCAUCCCAUUGAUGUCAAAGAUUUAUCGCUGAAAGAUGGCCUCGCGUCUGAUUAGCUAGUUGGUGAGGUAACGGCCCACCAAGGCGACGAUCAGUAGCCGGACUGAGAGGUUGACCGGCCACAUUGGGACUGAGAUACGGCCCAGACUCCUACGGGAGGCAGCAGUGAGGAAUAUUGGUCAAUGGACGGAAGUCUGAACCAGCCAAGUAGCGUGCAGGAUGACGGCCCUAUGGGUUGUAAACUGCUUUAUGUGGGAAUAAAGUCAGGGACGUGUCCCUGUUUGCAUGUACCACAGGAAU
RNAcentral lists this ribosomal RNA (479 nucleotides) under uncultured bacterium. RNAcentral's name for it is "bacterial SSU rRNA". It matches the Rfam family "Bacterial small subunit ribosomal RNA", at positions 28 to 487 of the family's 1533-position model. The record is from RNAcentral.